AAUGACAGUGGGAGCAGCUCAGCAAAUUCUUUGAUGACCAAUGUGCUUCCAACAGGGAACAUCUAUCCCUCGAGGGUAAUUGGCAAGAUCCAGACGGUGGCACUGAUGAGCUUGCUUCUGACCCAUCACAAAUGAUAUGGGCUAGUCCAAUUAGAUUUUGACCGGGCUCAGCCUCAUAUUUUAAAAGAUUCUAGGGCUUAGGUCUGGCUUCGAGCCAAACUCAGGC
Molecule: long non-coding RNA, 226 nt
Filed under: Elaeis guineensis (African oil palm)
Lineage: Eukaryota; Viridiplantae; Streptophyta; Magnoliopsida; Arecales; Arecaceae
Description: long non-coding RNA (EGUI_LNC040536)
Source: RNAcentral